GAUGAAGAACGUAGCGAAAUGCGAUACGUAAUGUGAAUUGCAGAAUUCCGUGAAUCAUCGAAUCUUUGAACGCACAUUGCGCCGCCUGGCACUCCGGGGGGCAUGCCUGUCCGAGCGUCAUUUCUGCCCUCCAGCCCGGCUGGGUGUUGGGCGCUGUCCCCCCGGGGACACGCCCCAAAGGCAGUGGCGGCGCCGCGUCGGGUCCUCGAGCGUAUGGGGCUUUGUCACCCGCUCGGGACGGACUCGUCUGCGCUGGUCUUCCUCCAGGCGACCCUUCGGGGCUCGUCUUCCUUCGGUUGACCUCGGAUCAGGUAGGGUUACCCGCUGAACUUAAGCAUAUCAAUAAGCGGAGGA
RNAcentral lists this unclassified non-coding RNA (354 nucleotides) under soil metagenome. Its description in RNAcentral is "partial contains 5.8S ribosomal RNA, internal transcribed spacer 2, and large subunit ribosomal RNA". The stretch from base 1 to 120 matches the Rfam family "5.8S ribosomal RNA", at positions 35 to 154 of the family's 154-position model. The record is from RNAcentral.